Molecule: non-coding RNA, 113 nt
Organism: Acanthosepion pharaonis
Lineage: Eukaryota; Metazoa; Mollusca; Cephalopoda; Sepiida; Sepiidae
Source: the annotation of a GenBank genome assembly
UAUGGCUAUAUCAAGUUGAAACACCAGUUCUAGUAUAAUCAGCGAAGUUAAGCAACAUUGAGAUUGGUCAGUACCAAGCUGGGUGACCACUUGGGAAUACCAGGUAUUGUAAG